CGGCGUGCUUAACACAUGCAAGUCGAACGAACCUUCGGGUUAGUGGCGGACGGGUGAGUAACGCGUGAGAAUCUGCCCUCAGGAGGGGGAUAACGGUUGGAAACGACCGCUAAUACCCCAUAUGCCUACUGGUGAAAUGAAUUUCGCCUGAGGAUGAGCUCGCGUCUGAUUAGCUAGUUGGUGAGGUAAUGGCUCACCAAGGCUUCGAUCAGUAGCUGGUCUGAGAGGAUGAUCAGCCACACUGGGACUGAGACACGGCCCAGACUCCUACGGGAGGCAGCAGUGGGGAAUUUUCCGCAAUGGGCGAAAGCCUGACGGAGCAACGCCGCGUGAGGGACGAAGGCCUCUGGGCUGUAAACCUCUUUUCUCAAGGAAGAAGAUAUGACGGUACUUGAGGAAUAAGCCACGGCUAAUUCCGUGCC
Molecule: ribosomal RNA, 422 nt
Filed under: uncultured Prochlorococcus sp.
Lineage: Bacteria; Bacillati; Cyanobacteriota; Cyanophyceae; Synechococcales; Prochlorococcaceae
Description: bacterial SSU rRNA
Rfam family: Bacterial small subunit ribosomal RNA
Source: RNAcentral